RNAcentral lists this ribosomal RNA (978 nucleotides) under Bacillus sp. HKG194. RNAcentral describes it as "bacterial SSU rRNA". It matches the Rfam family "Bacterial small subunit ribosomal RNA", at positions 482 to 1453 of the family's 1533-position model. The record is from RNAcentral. Lineage: Bacteria; Bacillati; Bacillota; Bacilli; Caryophanales; Bacillaceae.
ACCAGAAAGCCAAGGGCUAACUACGUGCCAGCAGGCACGGUAUUACGUAGGUGGCAAGCGUUAUUCCGGAAAUUAUUGACGUAAAGCGGCGCGCAGGUGGUAUCUUAAGUCUGAUUGGAAAGCCCCACGGCUCAACCCGUGGAGGGGUCAUUGGAAACUGGGAGACUUGAGUGCAGAAGAGGGAAAGUGGAAUUCCAUGUGUAGCGGUGAAAUGCGUAGAGAUAUGGAGGAACACCAGUGGCGAAGGCGACUUUCUGGUCUGUAACUGACACUGAGGCGCGAAAGCGUGGGGAGCAAACAGGAUUAGAUACCCUGGUAGUCCACGCCGUAAACGAUGAGUGGUAAGUGUUAGAGGGUUUCCGCCCUUUAGUGCUGAAGUUAACGCAUUAAGCACUCCGCCUGGGGAGUACGGCCGCAAGGCUGAAACUCAAAGGAAUUGACGGGGGCCCGCACAAGCGGUGGAGCAUGUGGUUUAAUUUGAAGCAACGCGAAGAACCUUACCAGGUCUUGACAUCCUUUGACAACCCUAGAGAUAGGGCUUCUCCUUUGGGAGCAGAGUGACAGGUGGUGCAUGGUUGUUGUCAGCUCGUGUCGUGAGAUGUUGGGUUAAGUCCCGCAACGAGCGCAACCCUUGAUCUUAGUUGCCAUCAUUUAGUUGGGCACUUUAAGGUGACUGCCGGUGACAAACCGGAGGAAGGUGGGGAGGACGUCAAAUCAUCAUGCCCCUUAUGACCUGGGCUACACACGUGCUACAAUGGACGGUACAAAGAGCUGCAAGACCGCGAGGUGGAGCUAAUCUCAUAAAACCGUUCUCAGUUCGGAUUGUAGGCUGCAACUCGCCUACAUGAAGCUGGAAUCGCUAGUAAUCGCGGAUCAGCAUGCCGCGGGGAAUACGUUCCCGGGCCUUGUACACACCGCCCGUCACACCACGAGAGUUUGUAACACCCGAAGUCGGUGGGGUAACCUUUUGGAGCCAGC